UACACAUGCAUUUUCAUUAGGUUGUUUGGG
Molecule: non-coding RNA, 30 nt
Filed under: Mus musculus (house mouse)
Lineage: Eukaryota; Metazoa; Chordata; Mammalia; Rodentia; Muridae
Source: RNAcentral